Molecule: ribosomal RNA, 468 nt
Filed under: uncultured bacterium
Lineage: Bacteria
Description: partial 16S ribosomal RNA
Rfam family: Bacterial small subunit ribosomal RNA
Source: RNAcentral
GACGAACGCUGGCGGCGUGCUUAACACAUGCGAGUCGAACGGAAAGGCCCUGCUUUUGUGGGGUGCUCGAGCGGCGAACGGGUGAGUAACACGUGAGUAACCUGCCCUUGACUUUGGGAUAACUUCAGGAAACUGGGGCUAAUACCGGAUAGGAGCUCCUGCUGCAUGGUGGGGGUUGGAAAGUUUCGGCGGUUGGGGAUGGACUCGCGGCUUAUCAGCUUGUUGGUGGGGUAGUGGCUUACCAAGGCUUUGACGGGUAGCCGGCCUGAGAGGGUGACCGGCCACAUUGGGACUGAGAUACGGCCCAGACUCCUACGGGAGGCAGCAGUGGGGAAUAUUGCACAAUGGGCGGAAGCCUGAUGCAGCAACGCCGCGUGCGGGUUGACGGCCUUCGGGUUGUAAACCGCUUUCGCCUGUGACGAAGCGUGAGUGACGGUAAUGGGUAAAGAAGCACCGGCUAACUACGUG